AUGGGGCACUGGCUGGUGGAUGGUGGAGGUGGUACAGGGGGCCUAGUGGUAGUAAUGGGGCACUGGCUGGUGGAUGGUGGUUUCACAAAACUGAGGUUUAGGGGUGCCGGCGACCUAGUGGAGGUAGUGGGACAUGGAAUAGGAGGUUGGAGAAGCUUUUCAGCACAAGCUGGGCCACUGAGGAGAGCUGUUUGCAGAGAAGAUUGUAGAUGUGCUGACACUUUCUCCAUGACAGAGGAAAGGAACAUUUGAUCUGGGGAAAUAAAUUAUAAAUAAAACACUUGCACAAAUCAUUGGUUACUUGUAAUUAUUUCACAGUCAUGUGGUUUAUUUACCAUUUUGCAUCCUUUCAGCGAUGUCCUUGGAAACAUGACAAC
Molecule: long non-coding RNA, 377 nt
Filed under: Carassius auratus (goldfish)
Lineage: Eukaryota; Metazoa; Chordata; Actinopteri; Cypriniformes; Cyprinidae
Description: lncRNA (ENSCARG00000008914.1)
Source: RNAcentral